GUAUGUUAGAAUUAUGUUAAUCCAUGUACAUUGCUUCAGACAAACUAGUUAAAGAUAGGUUUAAUUAAAAGCCAAACUCCCCGCACCUCAAAAGAGAGCGAGAAAAAUGACUAAAACAUUGCACACAAGGUGGGUAUGGAUUUUUAAAAGUGCCAUAAACACUCAUUAUGAAUGAUCCUUCCGCAGGUUCACCUACGGAAA
Molecule: unclassified non-coding RNA, 201 nt
Filed under: uncultured fungus
Lineage: Eukaryota; Fungi
Description: sequence contains ITS1
Source: RNAcentral